This 400-nucleotide ribosomal RNA is filed under the name uncultured bacterium. Its description in RNAcentral is "bacterial SSU rRNA". It matches the Rfam family "Bacterial small subunit ribosomal RNA", at positions 356 to 773 of the family's 1533-position model. The record is from RNAcentral.
GGGGAAUAUUGGACAAUGGGCGAAAGCCUGAUCCAGCAAUGCCGCGUGAGUGAUGAAGGCCUUAGGGUUGUAAAGCUCUUUUACCCGGGAAGAUAAUGACUGUACCGGGAGAAUAAGCCCCGGCUAACUCCGUGCCAGCAGCCGCGGUAAUACGGAGGGGGCUAGCGUUGUUCGGAAUUACUGGGCGUAAAGCGCACGUAGGCGGCUUUGUAAGUUAGAGGUGAAAGCCCGGGGCUCAACCCCGGAAUUGCCUUUAAGACUGCAUCGCUUGAACGUCGGAGAGGUGAGUGGAAUUCCGAGUGUAGAGGUGAAAUUCGUAGAUAUUCGGAAGAACACCAGUGGCGAAGGCGGCUCACUGGACGACUGUUGACGCUGAGGUGCGAAAGCGUGGGGAGCAAAC